CUUCCAAGCGGCGUCUAAAUGCUGAGGAUGAGGGAACUGCUGAAGACACAGGGGAGGUCUUUUGCAUGCCAAUUAUCUGGCUUGACUGGAGUUUAGUGGUUCAUUCGUUCUAGAUGAUCUCCUUUCUGCCAGGAACUCAGGCUAAUUCUCCACCCAUGUUGACUUAAUAAGACAUCUUUUAAUACUCUGCUCCAACCUCUGUUUCUGGGAUGCUAGUGGAAACUGAAGCUUUACUGGGAAACUAAGCCAGCCCCCAUGCAAGGAGACUGCUUUUUUAUUUUCACUGGUGAACCUUGUGCAACCUCCUGGUAACACUGAAAUCAGUGGAAUGCACCCUGAAAUCAGAGAUGUCUAGGCUUUUCCUAUAGAUAGGGUCUAAACUAAGGACUUGAUUAUAUUUUUUCUUUCUUUCUUUUUAAAAUAAAAUUGUUACUUCUCUGAAUAUGCACCAGAUAAGAUCUAUGGGGUGAAAUCCUGGCUUUUGUGAAGACUAUUGACACUGAUAAUGCCAGAUACCAGUUUAUUUCAUGUCCUUAACUCUGGUGUUAAAUGCUGUGGUGGCUGAGUUGUUCACACAGAGCUGGCAGACAUGACAUAAGACCUGCAGGAACCCUGGUCUCUUCUGGAGAAGCAGCUGAAAGCCAGUGGGAAAGCCUGGGGUAUCUCAAAUGGCAUCAGACACCUCAGUUUAGGCAACUGAAUGCCACCAUGGGUGAGAGCCUGUAUGAUGUAAAAUCAUCUCCUCUUUUUCCGUAAGAAAUCCUUGUAAUAAAGUAUAUUCCAUAUAAA
Molecule: long non-coding RNA, 789 nt
Organism: Anas platyrhynchos (mallard)
Lineage: Eukaryota; Metazoa; Chordata; Aves; Anseriformes; Anatidae
Source: RefSeq, a predicted model, not a curated record